RNAcentral lists this ribosomal RNA (253 nucleotides) under uncultured bacterium. RNAcentral's name for it is "partial 16S ribosomal RNA". It matches the Rfam family "Bacterial small subunit ribosomal RNA", at positions 524 to 776 of the family's 1533-position model. The record is from RNAcentral.
UACAGAGGUCCCGAGCGUUGUUCGGAUUCAUUGGGCGUAAAGGGUGCGUAGGUGGCGCCGUAAGUGGGGUGUGAAAUCCCGGGGCUUAACCCCGGGACUGCAUUCCAUACUGCGGUGCUUGAGGACUGGAGAGGAGACUGGAAUUUACGGUGUAGCAGUGAAAUGCGUAGAUAUCUGGAGGAACACCGGUGGCGAAGGCGGCAUCCUGGACCGAUACUGACGCUGAGGAGCGAAAGCCAGGGGAGCAAACGGG